Molecule: long non-coding RNA, 440 nt
Organism: Clarias gariepinus (North African catfish)
Lineage: Eukaryota; Metazoa; Chordata; Actinopteri; Siluriformes; Clariidae
Exons: 3
Source: RefSeq, a predicted model, not a curated record
GGUGUGUUCAGUUGUACUGACUUUGAUAAGGGAGAUUUCCUAUUGGAGUACAGAGGGGAUCUCAUAAGCAGAGAAGAAUGUGAGCGGAGGCAAAGAAUAUAUCAUGAUGCCCUCAAAGUGUUUAUGUAUGAAUUUAGAUUCAAUGGCAAAUUCCUUUGUGUUGAUGCAGCCCUGGAUGAUGGCUCCCUUGGGAGACUUGUGAAUGAUGACCAUAUAAAACCAAACUGCAGAAUGAAGACCAUCCGUGUGGAUGGUAAACCUCAUCUUUGUUUAUUUGCCAUAAGAAGCAUCUGUCCUGGUGAAGAGAUCGCAUACAAUUACGGCGAUUCUGAGUGGCCAUGGCGAUGCAAGAUGACAUCGUCUAAGAAUUCACCACCUCCAGAACAAGAAGAUACAGCAGAUAGAAAGGCAUCCAAAAAGGUGAUGUAGAAAAGAGUAAA